RNAcentral lists this ribosomal RNA (460 nucleotides) under uncultured bacterium. RNAcentral describes it as "partial 16S ribosomal RNA". It matches the Rfam family "Bacterial small subunit ribosomal RNA", at positions 338 to 795 of the family's 1533-position model. The record is from RNAcentral.
CCUACGGGGGACAGCAGUGAGGAAUAUUGGUCAAUGGGCGCGAGCCUGAACCAGCCAAGUAGCGUGAAGGAUGACUGCCCUACGGGUUGUAAACUUCUUUUAUAAAGGAAUACAGUGAGGCACGUGUGCCUCUUUGUAUGUACUUUAUGAAUAAGGAUCGGCUAACUCCGUGCCAGCAGCCGCGGUAAUACGGAGGAUCCGAGCGUUAUCCGGAUUUAUUGAGUUUAAAGGGAGCGUAGAUGGGUUGUUAAGUCAGUUGUGAAAGUUUGCGGCUCAACCGUAAAAUUGCAAUUGAUACUGGCAGUCUUGAGUACAGUUGAGGUAGGCUGAAUUCGUGGUGUAGCGGUGAAAUGCUUAGAUAUCACGAAGAACUCCGAUUGCGAAGGCAGCUUACUAAACUGCCACUGACAUUGAUGCUGGAAAGUGUGGGUAUCAAACAGGAUUAGAUACCCCUGUAGUC